CAGUCGCCGCGGUAAUACGUAGGGUGCGAGCGUUAAUCGGAAUUACUGGGCGUAAAGCGUGCGCAGGCGGUUCGUUAAGACAGAUGUGAAAUCCCCGGGCUUAACCUGGGAACUGCAUUUGUGACUGGCGAGCUAGAGUAUGGCAGAGGGGGGUGGAAUUCCACGUGUAGCAGUGAAAUGCGUAGAGAUGUGGAGGAACACCGAUGGCGAAGGCAGCCCCCUGGGCCAAUACUGACGCUCAUGCACGAAAGCGUGGGGAGCAAACAGGAUUAGAUACCCCUGUAGUCCCUGUCUCUUAUAC
This 301-nucleotide ribosomal RNA is filed under the name uncultured bacterium. RNAcentral's name for it is "partial 16S ribosomal RNA". It matches the Rfam family "Bacterial small subunit ribosomal RNA", at positions 509 to 807 of the family's 1533-position model. The record is from RNAcentral.